AGCUAGAAAAUCUAAUUGCAUUACGAAAUACAAAACAUAAGUUAAAUUAUUUUUCGUAAACACUUACUCUAUAUAUUGAUGACAGAUUGUAGUGAACUUAAUUUGAAAGAAAUCUUGAUGGUUUUGCACAUGGAAACAAAAUUGAUAGAUGAAUUUCAGAGAUUUAAAAGCAGCUUUGUGAAUCUAAAAAUGGUUAAUUGGAAUUCUUGUUAAGAUUGUUAUGAAUCUUUAGGAAACAUCUGCGGAGUUAAAAUAUUUCAGCUAUUGCCACACCAUAAAUGGAUUGUAUGUGCCCAAUGCCACUUUCUAAUAAUAUGAAUAUGAUGAUCUGAAAGUGUACUGCUUCACAAAAGCAUCAGAUAAAGCCAACCUGUGGAUGGAGAAAAAAUGAAUGAGAAAAUAAACAAAGCUUCCAUCUAUAGGUCUAAAAGCACUUUCAACUUCUAAUUCAUUAGAGGGAAACUAGAAAAACCUUAGUCUUUUGUUUCAGAACUUAUUAAACUCUAUUCCAAAUGUUAUUUCUGUCACUGCAGAUUCACAGACUGCCAUCCUAGGAUAUCAAUUACACUACCACUUAUCAGUGGACAUCUUCUGUAGACUCUUACCCUAUCACUUAUCAAUCGACUUCUUCUGUAGACCUUCUUUG
RNAcentral lists this unclassified non-coding RNA (646 nucleotides) under Hevea brasiliensis (rubber tree). The record is from RNAcentral. Lineage: Eukaryota; Viridiplantae; Streptophyta; Magnoliopsida; Malpighiales; Euphorbiaceae.